This 262-nucleotide long non-coding RNA is filed under the name Carica papaya (papaya). RNAcentral describes it as "long non-coding RNA (CPAP_LNC002384)". Lineage: Eukaryota; Viridiplantae; Streptophyta; Magnoliopsida; Brassicales; Caricaceae. The record is from RNAcentral.
UUACCAAGUCUUCAUACCCCGUCAAGUAUGAGAGAACGUUCACGAUAGGGUUCUUUAUGAACUCGAUCCAUCCACCAUCUCCCAAGAUAUCUAGUGAGGCUGUCACCUUAUCUGUUUAUUAGAUCACAUCCCUUUCCUAUUUAUCCUUAAUCUUCGUUACCAAAUUAAACACAAUCACAUAAAUAACGAACAUGUACCCGGUAAUACAAUCAUGUCUUAAAUCCUAAAAUCACACAGUGGUCAAGUAAUACAGUAAUACAUG